GGGAUAUCGCACAAUGGGCGAAAGCCUGAUGCAGCGACGCCGCGUGAGGGAAGACGGUCUUCGGAUUGUAAACCUCUGUCUUUGGGGAAGAAUAGAGACGGUACCCAAAGAGGAAGCUCCGGCUAACUACGUGCCAGCAGCCGCGGUAAUACGUAGGGAGCGAGCGUUGUCCGGAAUUACUGGGUGUAAAGGGAGCGUAGGCGGGCUUGUAAGUUGAAUGUCUAAUCCACCGGCUCAACCGGUGAUCGCGUUCAAAACUGCAGGUCUUGAGUGAAGUAGAGGCAGGCGGAAUUCCUAGUGUAGCGGUGAAAUGCGUAGAUAUUAGGAGGAACACCAGUGGCGAAGGCGGCCUGCUGGGCUUUAACUGACGCUGAGGCUCGAAAGCGUGGGGAGCAAAC
This 398-nucleotide ribosomal RNA is filed under the name uncultured bacterium. RNAcentral describes it as "bacterial SSU rRNA". It matches the Rfam family "Bacterial small subunit ribosomal RNA", at positions 358 to 773 of the family's 1533-position model. The record is from RNAcentral.